GAUGAACGCUGGCGGCGUGCCUAAUACAUGCAAGUCGAGCGAACAGACGAGGAGCUUGCUCCUCUGACGUUAGCGGCGGACGGGUGAGUAACACGUGGAUAACCUACCUAUGAGACUGGGAUAACUUCGGGAAACCGGAGCUAAUACCGGAUAACAUGUUGAACCGCAUGGUUCAACAGUGAAAGACGGUUUUGCUGUCACUUAUAGAUGGAUCCGCGUCGCAUUAGCUAGUUGGUAAGGUAACGGCUUACCAAGGCAACGAUGCGUAGCCGACCUGAGAGGGUGAUCGGCCACACUGGAACUGAGACACGGUCCAGACUCCUACGGGAGGCAGCAGUAGGGAAUCUUCCGCAAUGGGCGAAAGCCUGACGGAGCAACGCCGCGUGAGUGAAGAAGGUCUUCGGAUCGUAAAACUCUGUUAUUAGGGAAGAACAAAUGUGUAAGUAACUAUGCACGUCUUGACGGUACCUAAUCAGAAAGCCACGGCUAACUACGUG
This 497-nucleotide ribosomal RNA is filed under the name uncultured bacterium. RNAcentral describes it as "partial 16S ribosomal RNA". It matches the Rfam family "Bacterial small subunit ribosomal RNA", at positions 28 to 507 of the family's 1533-position model. The record is from RNAcentral.